CCCUUAGAUGUUCUGGGCCGCACGCGCGCUACACUGACGGAGGCAGCGAGUAUGUCCUUCGCCGAGAGGUGUGGGGAAUCUUGUGAGUCUCCGUCGUGCUGGGGAUAGAUGGUUGCAAUUGUCGAUCUUGAACGAGGAAUUCCUAGUAAGCGCGAGUCAUCAGCUCGCGCUGAUUACGUCCCUGCCCUUUGUACACACCGCCCGUCGCUACUACCGAUUGGAUGGUUUAGCGAGAACUUUGGACCGGAGCUCGGGUGGUCAGCAAUGGCCGCCCGAGACAUACUGGGAAAUCGCUCCAGCUUGAUCAUCUAGAGGAAGUAAAAGUCGUAACA
RNAcentral lists this ribosomal RNA (332 nucleotides) under uncultured eukaryote. RNAcentral's name for it is "partial 18S ribosomal RNA". It matches the Rfam family "Eukaryotic small subunit ribosomal RNA", at positions 1470 to 1796 of the family's 1831-position model. The record is from RNAcentral.